UUCAGCGUCCAAAAAUGUGCAAAGACUAUAGUCUUUGGUGUUUUCCGCGUCGAAAAAUGUGCAAAGACUAUAGUCUUUGGUAUUUUUCGCGUCCAAAAAUGUGCAAAGGCUAUAGUCUUCGGUGGAAUAUUUUGAGUGAUUACGUAGCAGUCAAUCGCGAACUUGCGAUUCGGUAUUUGAUCAUAUUGUAGCGCCACGUACGUGGACCCUUCUUUUUCGAGGCAACGGCAGUACGACCGCAGCAGCCGAAGCGACGUGGUCAUCGGGAGCGACAUCGAUGGUAGCGCGUACGUACACAUCCUUUGAGGAGAGAUAGAAGAAGCCAGCGAGGUGAGAGAGACAUCGAUAUAUUUGGGCUCUCAAUUCGUCGUCACAGUGCCUUGAUCAUCGCAGUACCUAUUCAACUUCCAACCACGAAGGACAGGACUUCCAUGGCAUCGCACAAUUCGUUUACAGGUGAUUAUAAUAAUAUAUUCAAUGCAAUAUAUUAUAACAACACAUUGGCAGUAAUAUAUUUACAUAAAAUAUAAUAUGACAUAUAAUUAAUGUAUCGACAUAGAAUAUAAUAUUGGUAAUAAUAUGUUCUUAUAUGCAUCUUAUUAAUAAUCAAUCUUCCAUAUGUUUCAGGUACUCGGAGAUGCUGCCGCCGCAGUUAUGACCCCCUGGACUUCCCCUGUUCAUCAGGGGGAGUCCAGGGACUCGUCCCCUGGGACUGCGCGGCCUCC
Long non-coding RNA from Athalia rosae (coleseed sawfly), 725 nucleotides. RefSeq lists it as uncharacterized. The record is from RefSeq and is a predicted model, not a curated record. The transcript is spliced from 3 exons. NCBI's taxonomy places the organism in Eukaryota, Metazoa, Arthropoda, Insecta, Hymenoptera, Athaliidae.